GAUCAUGGCUCAGGAUGAACGCUAGCUACAGGCUUAACACAUGCAAGUCGAGGGGCAGCGCAGUGUAGCAAUACAUGGGCGGCGACCGGCGCACGGGUGCGUAACGCGUAUCCAACCUUCCCGUUACUCAGGGAUAGCCUUCCGAAAGGGAGAUUAAUACCUGAUGGUGUUCAAAUUCCGCAUGUUAUUUGAACUAAAGAUUUAUUGGUAUAGGAUGGCGAUGCGUGGCAUUAGGUAGUAGGCGGGGUAACGGCCCACCUAGCCGACGAUGCCUAGGGGUUCUGAGAGGAAGGUCCCCCACACUGGAACUGAGACACGGUCCAGACUCCUACGGGAGGCAGCAGUGAGGAAUAUUGGUCAAUGGUCGGAAGACUGAACCAGCCAAGUAGCGUGAAGGAUGAAGGUUCUAUGGAUUGUAAACUUCUUUUAUACGGGAAUAAAACACCUUACGUGUAGGGUCUUGUAUGUACCGUAUGAAUAAGCAUCGGCUAACUCCGUG
RNAcentral lists this ribosomal RNA (499 nucleotides) under uncultured bacterium. RNAcentral's name for it is "bacterial SSU rRNA". It matches the Rfam family "Bacterial small subunit ribosomal RNA", at positions 15 to 507 of the family's 1533-position model. The record is from RNAcentral.